This 387-nucleotide ribosomal RNA is filed under the name Triticum aestivum (bread wheat). Its description in RNAcentral is "partial small subunit ribosomal RNA". The record is from RNAcentral. Lineage: Eukaryota; Viridiplantae; Streptophyta; Magnoliopsida; Poales; Poaceae.
AUGUUCGUACCGGUGAUGUAUUUCCAUCACAGGGACAGUUGUAGGAGUACUUCGCAAAUAGUACUACUGCACUGGGUUCUUGAGGACUAUGAUACUUCAGAAUGGACUUUGAAGCACAAUAUCAACCACUUGCAGUUGCUUGGAAGAAAGUAUUUAUCGCACGCGGAACGUUACAGUAUUAUUUCAAUCCAUCCAGAACACAAUUUGGUUUUUAUAGUAUGUGGAGAUGAGAGUGCACUAAUGUCAUACGACAUGGAUUCAAUAGAGCUGUGUUUUAUACGUGAACUUGGUUCUGAGUGUAAAGCUGAAUGGCCUGUCUGUGGCAACAAGACUCCUUUUUAUCCACAUGUUCCCUUGUUCUCAGAAUCAUUGGCGGAUGGGUACUAA